Molecule: ribosomal RNA, 486 nt
Filed under: uncultured bacterium
Lineage: Bacteria
Description: partial 16S ribosomal RNA
Rfam family: Bacterial small subunit ribosomal RNA
Source: RNAcentral
AUUGAACGCUGGCGGCAUGCCUUACACAUGCAAGUCGAACGGCAGCACGGGUGCUUGCACCUGGUGGCGAGUGGCGAACGGGUGAGUAAUACAUCGGAACAUGUCCUGUAGUGGGGGAUAGCCCGGCGAAAGCCGGAUUAAUACCGCAUACGAUCUACGGAUGAAAGCGGGGGACCUUCGGGCCUCGCGCUAUAGGGUUGGCCGAUGGCUGAUUAGCUAGUUGGUGGGGUAAAGGCCUACCAGGGCGACGAUCAGUAGCUGGUCUGAGAGGACGACAGGCCACACGAGGACUGAGACACGGCCCAGACUCCUACGGGAGGCAGCAGUGGGGAAUGGUGGACAAUGGGCGAAAGCCUGAUCCAGCAAUGCCGCGUGUGUGAAGAAGGCCUUCGGGUUGUAAAGCACUUUUGUCCGGAAAGAAAUCCUUGGCCCUAAUACGGUCGGGGGAUGACGGUACCGGAAGAAGAAGCACCGGCUAACUACGUG